UUGCCGUGGUGUGGGCAUGCUUGGAUGUAUUCUUGGAAACGUUCCCAAACUUCUAGGAUAGUCUCAUUCGGUAAUUGUUGAAUUCCAGAGAUCCUGUUCUGGAGGGC
Molecule: small nucleolar RNA, 107 nt
Organism: Panicum virgatum (switchgrass)
Lineage: Eukaryota; Viridiplantae; Streptophyta; Magnoliopsida; Poales; Poaceae
Source: RefSeq, a predicted model, not a curated record